GACGAACGCUGGCGGCGUGCUUAACACAUGCAAGUCGAACGGAAAGGCCCUGCUUGCAGGGUGCUCGAGUGGCGAACGGGUGAGUAACACGUGGGUGAUCUGCCCCUUACUUUGGGAUAAGCCUGGGAAACUGGGUCUAAUACUGGAUAGGACCAUGCUGUAGGUGGUGUGGUGGAAAGAUUAGUUUCGGUAAGGGAUGAGCUCGCGGCCUAUCAGCUUGUUGGUGGGGUAAUGGCCUACCAAGGCGUCGACGGGUAGCCGGCCUGAGAGGGUGGACGGCCAGAUUGGGACUGAGAUACGGGCCAGACUCCUACGGGAGGCAGCAGUGGGGAAUAUUGCACAAUGGGCGCAAGCCUGAUGCAGCGACGCCGCGUGGGGGAUGACGGCCUUCGGGUUGUAAACUCCUUUCAGCCAUGACGAAGCCCUUGUGGUGACGGUAGUGGUAGAAGAAGCACCGGCUAACUACGUG
RNAcentral lists this ribosomal RNA (469 nucleotides) under uncultured bacterium. Its description in RNAcentral is "partial 16S ribosomal RNA". It matches the Rfam family "Bacterial small subunit ribosomal RNA", at positions 28 to 507 of the family's 1533-position model. The record is from RNAcentral.